UACGAAGGGGGCUAGCGUUGCUCGGAAUCACUGGGCGUAAAGGGUGCGUAGGCGGGUUCUUAAGUCAGAGGUGAAAUCCUGGAGCUCAACUCCAGAACUGCCUUUGAUACUGAGAGUCUUGAGUUCGGGAGAGGUGAGUGGAACUGCGAGUGUAGCGGUGAAAUGCGCAGAUAUCAGGAAGAACACCCGUGGCUAAGGCGGUUCUCUAGUACGGUACUGACGCUGAGACGCGAAAGCGUGGGGAGCGAACAGG
RNAcentral lists this ribosomal RNA (253 nucleotides) under uncultured bacterium. Its description in RNAcentral is "partial 16S ribosomal RNA". It matches the Rfam family "Bacterial small subunit ribosomal RNA", at positions 524 to 776 of the family's 1533-position model. The record is from RNAcentral.